GUAAAGAGCGGCGGACGGGUGAGUAACGCGUGGGUAACCUACCCUGUACACACGGAUAACAUACCGAAAGGUAUGCUAAUACGGGAUAAUAUAUUUGAGAGGCAUCUCUUGAAUAUCAAAGGUGAGCCAGUACAGGAUGGACCCGCGUCUGAUUAGCUAGUUGGUAAGGUAACGGCUUACCAAGGCGACGAUCAGUAGCCGACCUGAGAGGGUGAUCGGCCACAUUGGAACUGAGACACGGUCCAAACUCC
RNAcentral lists this ribosomal RNA (251 nucleotides) under uncultured Peptostreptococcaceae bacterium. RNAcentral's name for it is "partial 16S ribosomal RNA". It matches the Rfam family "Bacterial small subunit ribosomal RNA", at positions 88 to 339 of the family's 1533-position model. The record is from RNAcentral. Lineage: Bacteria; Bacillati; Bacillota; Clostridia; Peptostreptococcales; Peptostreptococcaceae.